This 114-nucleotide ribosomal RNA is filed under the name Penicillium sp. CDFA916. RNAcentral's name for it is "5.8S ribosomal RNA". It matches the Rfam family "5.8S ribosomal RNA", at positions 1 to 113 of the family's 154-position model. From Rfam's summary of the family: 5.8S ribosomal RNA (5.8S rRNA) is a component of the large subunit of the eukaryotic ribosome. It is transcribed by RNA polymerase I as part of the 45S precursor that also contains 18S and 28S rRNA. The record is from RNAcentral. Lineage: Eukaryota; Fungi; Ascomycota; Eurotiomycetes; Eurotiales; Aspergillaceae.
AAACUUUCAACAACGGAUCUCUUGGUUCCGGCAUCGAUGAAGAACGCAGCGAAAUGCGAUAACUAAUGUGAAUUGCAGAAUUCAGUGAAUCAUCGAGUCUUUGAACGCACAUUG